RNAcentral lists this ribosomal RNA (970 nucleotides) under uncultured bacterium. Its description in RNAcentral is "bacterial SSU rRNA". It matches the Rfam family "Bacterial small subunit ribosomal RNA", at positions 61 to 1019 of the family's 1533-position model. The record is from RNAcentral.
GUCGAGCGAACAGACGAGGAGCUUGCUCCUUUGACGUUAGCGGCGGACGGGUGAGUAACACGUAGGUAACCUACCUAUAAGACUGGGAUAACUUCGGGAAACCGGAGCUAAUACCGGAUAAUAUUUCGAACCGCAUGGUUCGAUAGUGAAAGAUGGCUUUGCUAUCACUUAUAGAUGGACCUGCGCCGUAUUAGCUAGUUGGUAAGGUAACGGCUUACCAAGGCAACGAUACGUAGCCGACCUGAGAGGGUGAUCGGCCACACUGGAACUGAGACACGGUCCAGACUCCUACGGGAGGCAGCAGUAGGGAAUCUUCCGCAAUGGGCGAAAGCCUGACGGAGCAACGCCGCGUGAGUGAUGAAGGUCUUCGGAUCGUAAAACUCUGUUAUUAGGGAAGAACAAACGUGUAAGUAACUGUGCACGUCUUGACGGUACCUAAUCAGAAAGCCACGGCUAACUACGUGCCAGCAGCCGCGGUAAUACGUAGGUGGCAAGCGUUAUCCGGAAUUAUUGGGCGUAAAGCGCGCGUAGGCGGUUUUUUAAGUCUGAUGUGAAAGCCCACGGCUCAACCGUGGAGGGUCAUUGGAAACUGGAAAACUUGAGUGCAGAAGAGGAAAGUGGAAUUCCAUGUGUAGCGGUGAAAUGCGCAGAGAUAUGGAGGAACACCAGUGGCGAAGGCGACUUUCUGGUCUGUAACUGACGCUGAUGUGCGAAAGCGUGGGGAUCAAACAGGAUUAGAUACCCUGGUAGUCCACGCCGUAAACGAUGAGUGCUAAGUGUUAGGGGUUUCCGCCCCUUAGUGCUGCAGCUAACGCAUUAAGCACUCCGCCUGGGAGUACGACCGCAAGUUGAAACUCAAAGGAUUUGACCGGGACCCGCACAAGCGGUGAGCAUGUGUUUAAUUCGAAGCACGGCGAAGAACCUUACAAAUCUUGACAUCUUUGACCCUUCUAAGAGAAAAAAGUUUCCC